Pseudobacteroides cellulosolvens is the source of this 71-nucleotide non-coding RNA. The record is from Rfam. Lineage: Bacteria; Bacillati; Bacillota; Clostridia; Eubacteriales; Oscillospiraceae.
AAAUAAGAUUUGUCAUGAGAAGUCAGCAGAGGUCAUAGUACCAAGCCAGUCAUGAAUGGUAAGGAAAGGGC